Molecule: transfer RNA, 75 nt
Filed under: Acidobacteria bacterium RIFCSPLOWO2_02_FULL_64_15
Lineage: Bacteria; Pseudomonadati; Acidobacteriota
Also listed under: 7 other names
Description: tRNA-Asn
Rfam family: tRNA
About the family: Transfer RNA (tRNA) molecules are approximately 80 nucleotides in length. Their secondary structure includes four short double-helical elements and three loops (D, anti-codon, and T loops). Further hydrogen bonds mediate the characteristic L-shaped molecular structure. tRNAs have two regions of fundamental functional importance: the anti-codon, which is responsible for specific mRNA codon recognition, and the 3' end, to which the tRNAs corresponding amino acid is attached (by aminoacyl-tRNA synthetases). tRNAs cope with the degeneracy of the genetic code in two manners: having more than one tRNA (with a specific anti-codon) for a particular amino acid; and 'wobble' base-pairing, i.e. permitting non-standard base-pairing at the 3rd anti-codon position.
Source: RNAcentral
UCCUCAGUAGCUCAAUGGCAGAGCAUCCGGCUGUUAACCGGAGGGUUGCUGGUUCGAGUCCAGCCUGAGGAGCCA